This 1522-nucleotide ribosomal RNA is filed under the name metagenome. Its description in RNAcentral is "bacterial SSU rRNA". It matches the Rfam family "Bacterial small subunit ribosomal RNA". The record is from RNAcentral.
AGAGUUUGAUCAUGGCUCAGAUUGAACGCUGGCGGCAGGCCUAACACAUGCAAGUCGAACGGUAACAGGAAGCAGCUUGCUGCUUCGCUGACGAGUGGCGGACGGGUGAGUAAUGUCUGGGAAGCUGCCUGAUGGGGGGGGAUAACUACUGGAAACGGUAGCUAAUACCGCAUAAUGUCGCAAGACCAAAGAGGGGGACCUUCGGGCCUCUUGCCAUCGGAUGUGCCCAGAUGGGAUUAGCUUGUUGGUGGGGUAACGGCUCACCAAGGCGACGAUCCCUAGCUGGUCUGAGAGGAUGACCAGCCACACUGGAACUGAGACACGGUCCAGACUCCUACGGGAGGCAGCAGUGGGGAAUAUUGCACAAUGGGCGCAAGCCUGAUGCAGCCAUGCCGCGUGUAUGAAGAAGGCCUUCGGGUUGUAAAGUACUUUCAGCGGGGAGGAAGGGAGUAAAGUUAAUACCUUUGCUCAUUGACGUUACCCGCAGAAGAAGCACCGGCUAACUCCGUGCCAGCAGCCGCGGUAAUACGGAGGGUGCAAGCGUUAAUCGGAAUUACUGGGCGUAAAGCGCACGCAGGCGGUUUGUUAAGUCAGAUGUGAAAUCCCCGGGCUCAACCUGGGAACUGCAUCUGAUACUGGCAAGCUUGAGUCUCGUAGAGGGGGGUAGAAUUCCAGGUGUAGCGGUGAAAUGCGUAGAGAUCUGGAGGAAUACCGGUGGCGAAGGCGGCCCCCUGGACGAAGACUGACGCUCAGGUGCGAAAGCGUGGGGAGCAAACAGGAUUAGAUACCCUGGUAGUCCACGCCGUAAACGAUGUCGACUUGGAGGUUGUGCCCUUGAGGCGUGGCUUCCGGAGCUAACGCGUUAAGUCGACCGCCUGGGGAGUACGGCCGCAAGGUUAAAACUCAAAUGAAUUGACGGGGGCCCGCACAAGCGGUGGAGCAUGUGGUUUAAUUCGAUGCAACGCGAAGAACCUUACCUGGUCUUGACAUCCACGGAAGUUUUCAGAGAUGAGAAUGUGCCUUCGGGAACCGUGAGACAGGUGCUACAUGGCUGUCGUCAGCUCGUGUUGUGAAAUGUUGGGUUAAGUCCCGCAACGAGCGCAACCCUUAUCCUUUGUUGCCAGCGGUCCGGCCGGGAACUCAAAGGAGACUGCCAGUGAUAAACUGGAGGAAGGUGGGGAUGACGUCAAGUCAUCAUGGCCCUUACGACCAGGGCUACACACGUGCUACAAUGGCGCAUACAAAGAGAAGCGACCUCGCGAGAGCAAGCGGACCUCAUAAAGUGCGUCGUAGUCCGGAUUGGAGUCUGCAACUCGACUCCAUGAAGUCGGAAUCGCUAGUAAUCGUGGAUCAGAAUGCCACGGUGAAUACGUUCCCGGGCCUUGUACACACCGCCCGUCACACCAUGGGAGUGGGUUGCAAAAGAAGUAGGUAGCUUAACCUUCGGGAGGGCGCUUACCACUUUGUGAUUCAUGACUGGGGUGAAGUCGAAACAAGGUAACCGUAGGGGAACCUGCGGUUG